AGAGUUUGAUCAUGGCUCAGAAUGAACGUUGGCGGCGUGGAUUAGGCAUGCAAGUCGAGCGAGAACCCCGCAAGGGGGGACAGCGGCGUAAGGGACAGUAAUGUGUAGAUCAUCUGCCCUCAGGCCCGGGAUAGCUGCGGGAAACUGCAGGUAAUACCGGAUAACAUCUCCGGAUCAAAGGUGUGAUUCCGCCUGAGGAUGAGUCUGCAUCCUAUUAGCUAGUUGGUGAGGUAAUGGCUCACCAAGGCGAUGAUGGGUAGCGGGUGUGAGAGCACGACCCGCGUCAUUGGGACUGAGACACUGCCCAGACACCUACGGGUGGCUGCAGUCGAGAAUCUUCGGCAAUGGGCGCAAGCCUGACCGAGCGACGCCGCGUGUGGGAUGAAGGCCUUCGGGUUGUAAACCACUGUUAGAGGGGAUGAAAUGCAGGUGGGUUCUCCCAUCUGUUUGACAUAGCCUCAGAGAAG
Molecule: ribosomal RNA, 467 nt
Filed under: uncultured Planctomyces sp.
Lineage: Bacteria; Pseudomonadati; Planctomycetota; Planctomycetia; Planctomycetales; Planctomycetaceae
Description: bacterial SSU rRNA
Rfam family: Bacterial small subunit ribosomal RNA
Source: RNAcentral